AAGGCUUUAAGUUAAUUAAACUAAUAGCCUUCAAAGCUGUAAAUAAAGGCAGAAAUUCUUUAAGCCUUA
RNAcentral lists this transfer RNA (69 nucleotides) under Nemoura avicularis. RNAcentral describes it as "tRNA-Trp". It matches the Rfam family "tRNA". Rfam says of the family: Transfer RNA (tRNA) molecules are approximately 80 nucleotides in length. Their secondary structure includes four short double-helical elements and three loops (D, anti-codon, and T loops). Further hydrogen bonds mediate the characteristic L-shaped molecular structure. tRNAs have two regions of fundamental functional importance: the anti-codon, which is responsible for specific mRNA codon recognition, and the 3' end, to which the tRNAs corresponding amino acid is attached (by aminoacyl-tRNA synthetases). tRNAs cope with the degeneracy of the genetic code in two manners: having more than one tRNA (with a specific anti-codon) for a particular amino acid; and 'wobble' base-pairing, i.e. permitting non-standard base-pairing at the 3rd anti-codon position. The record is from RNAcentral. Lineage: Eukaryota; Metazoa; Arthropoda; Insecta; Plecoptera; Nemouridae.